RNAcentral lists this ribosomal RNA (232 nucleotides) under uncultured bacterium. RNAcentral's name for it is "partial 16S ribosomal RNA". It matches the Rfam family "Bacterial small subunit ribosomal RNA", at positions 106 to 339 of the family's 1533-position model. The record is from RNAcentral.
GUGAGGAACACGUAAGAAUCUACCCUCCACUUUGGGAUAACUCCGGGAAACCGGUGCUAAUACCGAAUAUUGAAACAUAAGUGGCAUCGCUGAGUUUUGAAAGAAUUUCGGUGGAGGAUGACUUCGCGGCCUAUCAGCUAGUUGGUGAGGUAAUGGCUCACCAAGGCUACGGCGGGUAACCGGCCUGAGAGGGCGAACGGUCACACUGGGACUGAGACACGGCCCAGACUCC